UGAACGACUGCUAAGACUGGAUAGGAAGAUAAAAGGCAUCUUUUAUCUUUUAAAAGACCUAGUAAUAGGUAUGCUUUAGGAGGGGCUUGCGCCAUAUUAGUUAGUUGGUAGGGUAAUGGCCUACCAAGACGAUGAUGUGUAGCUGGACUGAGAGGUUGAACAGCCACAUUGGGACUGAGACACGGCCCAAACUCCUACGGGAGGCAGCAGUAGGGAAUUUUCGGCAAUGGAGGAAACUCUGACCGAGCAACGCCGCGUGAAUGACGAAGUACUUCGGUAUGUAAAGUUCUUUUAUCAAGGAAGAAAAGCAAAUGGCGAACCAUUUGUUUGCCGGUACUUGAUGAAUAAGCCCCGGCUAAUUAUGUGCCAGCAGCCGCGGUAAGACAUAAGGGGCAAGUGUUAUCCGGAAUUAUUGGGCGUAAAGGGUGCGUAGGCGGUCUAGUAAGUCAGUGGUGUAAUGGCAACGCUUAACGUUGUCCGGCUAUUGAAACUGCUAAACUUGAGUUAGAUAGAGGCGAGUGGAAUUCCAUGUGUAGCGGUAAAAUGCGUAAAUAUAUGGAGGAACACCAGAGGCGUAGGCGGCUCGCUGGGUCUUAACUGACGCUGAGGCACGAAAGCGUGGGGAGCAAACAGGAUUAGAUACCCUGGUAGUCCACGCCGUAAACGAUGAGUACUAAGUGUCGGGUUAAACCGGUACUGAAGUUAACACAUUAAGUACUCCGCCUGAGUAGUACGUACGCAAGUAUGAAACUUAAAGGAAUUGACGGGACUCCGCACAAGCGGUGGAUCAUGUUGUUUAAUUCGAAGAUACCCGAAAAACCUUACCAGGUCUUGACAUGUUUUUGCAAAAUGAUAGUAAUAUCGUGGAGGUUACCAGAAACACAGGUGGUGCAUGGUUGUCGUCAGCUCGUGUCGUGAGAUGUUAGGUUAAGUCCUAAAACGAGCGAAACCCUUAUCGUUAGUUGCCAGCACGUUAUGGUGGGGACUUUAACGAGACUGCCAAUGAUAAAUUGGAGGAAGGUGAGGAUCACGUCAAAUCAGCAUGCCCCUUAUGACCUGGGCUACAAACGUGAUACAAUGGCUGUUACAAAGGGUAGCUGAAACGCAAGUUCUUGGCCAAUCCCCAAAAACAGUCCCAGUCCGGAUUGAAGUCUGCAACUCGACUUCAUGAAGUUGGAAUCGCUAGUAAUCACGAAUCAGCAUGUCGCGGUGAAUACGUUCUCGGGGUUUGUACACACCGCCCGUCA
RNAcentral lists this ribosomal RNA (1247 nucleotides) under Candidatus Phytoplasma citri. RNAcentral's name for it is "bacterial SSU rRNA". It matches the Rfam family "Bacterial small subunit ribosomal RNA", at positions 153 to 1399 of the family's 1533-position model. The record is from RNAcentral. Lineage: Bacteria; Bacillati; Mycoplasmatota; Mollicutes; Acholeplasmatales; Acholeplasmataceae.